GAUCAUAUAGAAUUCUGAUGUUAUUACCGGGCUGAAACUACGUACGAACAGUUGAAGCUGAUUACUUAAUUUUCACUCACUCAAUAGGAACCUUGCAAAGAACAAGCUCAAAAGCCUUCAGUAUGCCGCAUUUGACGGUCUGGAUCAACUGGACAAAUUGGACCUCAGCGGGAACUCGAUCAACACAAUAGAAGACGGUGCAUUCCUUGGUCUCUAUCGUCUGAAGACCUUAUUUCUGAAUUUUAAUCAGAUUAAAAAGAUUGGAGCGUACCUGUUUGCAGAUGUCUACUCCCUUACUACUCUGUAAGUACUGAAGAAUUUUCCAACUGUUUAAUUCUUUUAGGAUUAUCUUUAACUCUACUGCUGAAAAUAUCAAAUAAAUGUACGGCAAAGAAAAAUAAGAAUUGUCAUAGUUGUUUUUAGAUCACUCCGAGCUUCGGGAAUCCCAGGAGGGUUUAGAAAUAGACUAAAUGGCCAGUCCUGAGGCACAAAUGUUACUCACGUGGACAGCCCGAGUGGCUUCGCACGCCUUUCGCGGAUGAACUGAAUAGCAUACCUAAAAAUAGCUUGAGAAGGAUUAGCUUUAGAAUAAAGCCUGCCCUUCAUGCCCUCUUAACUCUGUAUGUCUGGUUUGUGGUGUCACACCAUCAAAAG
This is a long non-coding RNA of Orbicella faveolata, 654 nucleotides long. The record is from RefSeq and is a predicted model, not a curated record. Lineage: Eukaryota; Metazoa; Cnidaria; Anthozoa; Scleractinia; Merulinidae.